UACGGAGGGAGCUAGCGUUGUUCGGAAUUACUGGGCGUAAAGCGUACGUAGGCGGUUAUUCAAGUCAGAGGUGAAAGCCCGGGGCUCAACCCCGGAACGGCCUUUGAAACUAGAUAGCUAGAGUCUUGGAGAGGUUAGUGGAAUUCCGAGUGUAGAGGUGAAAUUCGUAGAUAUUCGGAAGAACACCAGUGGCGAAGGCAGCCCCCUGGGUCGAUACUGACGCUCAUGCACGAAAGCGUGGGGAGCAAACAGG
RNAcentral lists this ribosomal RNA (253 nucleotides) under uncultured bacterium. RNAcentral describes it as "partial 16S ribosomal RNA". It matches the Rfam family "Bacterial small subunit ribosomal RNA", at positions 524 to 776 of the family's 1533-position model. The record is from RNAcentral.